GAGAAAUAGCUGAGCUAAUACAUGGCUUCUAACCACGUAAAGAGAGGUUUAACUCCUUUCAUUUCUCUC
This 69-nucleotide transfer RNA is filed under the name Quadrula quadrula (mapleleaf mussel). Its description in RNAcentral is "tRNA-Ser". Lineage: Eukaryota; Metazoa; Mollusca; Bivalvia; Unionida; Unionidae. The record is from RNAcentral.